UCCCAAGAUGGCGGAUGAAGUGUGUGGUUUGAUAGAGUUUUCUCGUUUGGCUUGUUACCAACCUCAGGACGGAAACGGGGAUCUCAUUAUUAUUUCAUAAGAUGCUGACCCUCCUCUUUUGAUAUAUGAAUGCUACAAUGGACGAAAAUCGUCACAAAAACCAGACCACGUUUCAAUGUCUCAGCAGUCAGUGUACACACAGCAUUGAUACCAAAGAUACAGCGAGGAUUUCAGCUCUAGAAGAAUAUCAAGAGAGACGAAAAAAACUAUUUGUUGGUACCGCAAAGAAUAUGUCCAAAGAGAAGAUCAAUGAAUAAAGGGGAUACCACAAAGAUUACAAGUUUGAUAGGAACGGCAAGGAAGACUAAAAAACACUAAAGGAAAAAUAUCCGUCAUAAAGUGAAAAUCUCAAUUUAGUGUCAGCAUUUAGGAUUUCUACUUCGUUUCCAUUUUGAAAAUGUAAUUUUGAGGUGCUUUUUGAUUAAAAGAGGGAAAAGAAGAAACGAAAAGUGUUAGCGUUGAAAGGAAGGAGAAAUUCAACGCUCCAAAUUCUCGCACGUGAGACUUGCUCAUUUAC
This is a non-coding RNA of Pocillopora verrucosa, 577 nucleotides long. The record is from RefSeq and is a predicted model, not a curated record. Lineage: Eukaryota; Metazoa; Cnidaria; Anthozoa; Scleractinia; Pocilloporidae.